This 484-nucleotide ribosomal RNA is filed under the name Salmonella enterica subsp. enterica serovar Schwarzengrund. Its description in RNAcentral is "bacterial SSU rRNA". It matches the Rfam family "Bacterial small subunit ribosomal RNA", at positions 1 to 473 of the family's 1533-position model. The record is from RNAcentral. Lineage: Bacteria; Pseudomonadati; Pseudomonadota; Gammaproteobacteria; Enterobacterales; Enterobacteriaceae.
UUAAAUUGAAGAGUUUGAUCAUGGCUCAGAUUGAACGCUGGCGGCAGGCCUAACACAUGCAAGUCGAACGGUAACAGGAAGCAGCUUGCUGCUUUGCUGACGAGUGGCGGACGGGUGAGUAAUGUCUGGGAAACUGCCUGAUGGAGGGGGAUAACUACUGGAAACGGUGGCUAAUACCGCAUAAUGUCGCAAGACCAAAGAGGGGGACCUUCGGGCCUCUUGCCAUCAGAUGUGCCCAGAUGGGAUUAGCUUGUUGGUGAGGUAACGGCUCACCAAGGCGACGAUCCCUAGCUGGUCUGAGAGGAUGACCAGCCACACUGGAACUGAGACACGGUCCAGACUCCUACGGGAGGCAGCAGUGGGGAAUAUUGCACAAUGGGCGCAAGCCUGAUGCAGCCAUGCCGCGUGUAUGAAGAAGGCCUUCGGGUUGUAAAGUACUUUCAGCGGGGAGGAAGGUGUUGUGGUUAAUAACCGCAGCAAUUGA